AAAUUAAUUAAACGACACGAAUUAAAAUGUUCACGAACAACAUAUAUACAUAUACGCACGUAAACAUUAAACGAGACGAGAAAAUAAUCAAAACACGAAAAUUAUCAGUGCCGAAUCCCCAAGUGCCUCUAAUUUAUUGUCUUCCAAAGAUACAUAAAACGGGUGAUAGACCUAUUGUAAGCAGCAUUUCUUCUCCUUCUUAUUUAUUAGCAAAGUGGUUAGUCAACGAAAUGAGACAACUGCCCCCAAUAAAAAGUCUGUCGGUGAAAAAUUCUUUCGACUUCGUUGAAAAAGUGCAAAAUGAAAUCAUAUUAGAAGAUGAAAUGCUAGUGUCGUUCGAUGUCGUGUCUCUUUUCCCCAGCAUUCCGGUUCAAAUUGCAUUGGUAGAAUUUGAGAAGUAUCUAAAUUUGAUUGACAUCCCAUACGAGAAAAAAGUGUGUUUUUUAAAUGUCGCGAAAAUUUGUAUGGAACAAAACUUUUUCCAAUUCAGAGAAAAGUUUUAUAAAGUUGAGAAAGGCACAAAUAUGGGAAAUCCAUUAAGUCCUUUAGUGUCCGAACUUUUUAUGUCAGCUUUUGAAAUAAAUUUACAAAAUCAACAACUUUUACCACGCUUUUGGUGCCGUUAUGUUGAUGAUGUAUUUUCAAUAGUGAAGAAAGAUAAAGUAGAUAAUACAUUGAAAGUUUUGAACGAGCAAUUCGGGUCCAUAAAAUUUACACUCGAAAGAGAACAAAAUAGAAAAAUAUGUUUUCUAGAUCUUGAAUUAAAAAAUAAAAAUUAAUUCACAAAAUAAAAUAGAUGUGUCGGUUUACCACAAACCAACGAGUACCCUCCACUUCAUAACAAUCGAUUCGCACUGUCCCAUCCAACAUAAACUCGCAGCCUUCCAUUCCCUGACAUAUCGAUUAUGCAAACUUCCUCUAUCUGCUUCAAGUUACAAAUCAGAAUAUGAAUACAUCAAAAAAGUAGCAGAUAUGAACGGUUAUUCUGAUAAAUUAGUUGACAAACUUAUUUUUAAAACACUCAAACAAAAUCAAAAAAUCGAAUUUGUCAACUUUAUUUUCGCAAAACAGCGAAAAAAGUGAAAUGAAACGUGCUUCGAUGUGCUAUGUGCCGGAAAUAACAAACAAAAUCUCUAAAAAAUUUCGCGAUCACAAUGUUGACCUUGUUUUUUCGAACCAAAAUAAGCUUAAAAAUCUACUGGGUUCAACCAAAGACAAAAUAGACAAGUUCAAAAAAUCCGGCAUUUAUGCAAUAAAAUGUGAAGACUGUGAUGGAGUUUAUUAUGGUCAAACAAAACGAACGAUUGAAAAAAGAUUCAAAGAGCAUAACUCUUAUAUUAAACAAAAUAAACCACAAUGUUCAGCGAUUGCAGAACAUGCAAUAAAGCAUAAACAUUCAAAUUUAAAUGUAAACAACUUGAGUGUAAAGAAACAAAUAUCAGAUGAGAGAAAAUUGGAUGCAUAUGAAAGCUACUACAUCCAUAACGAUAACAAUGCUAUCAAUGCUGAUAACGGCAACAUUACAUCGUACUAUUUUCUCUCAUCUAAUAACAAUAUAUUUGCACAACCUGGACCAGUCGUGAUGCUGAUGAUGGACUGCAAGCAGUCCGAAAUGCAUUCAAGGUUCGUGUUUUGAUUAUUUUCUCGUCUCGUUUAAUGUUUACGUGCGUAUAUGUAUAUAUGUUGUUCGUGAACAUUUUAAUUCGUGUCGUUUAAUUAAUUUAAACCAAAAAGUGUAAAAACAUUAAGAUGUAUUGAACAAAAAAUAAUGUGCAAAAGACAACAAAUCCAUGACAACCUGUAGAAAAUGUUCGAAGAAGGUCGUUUGGAUGUGCCUGUCAUAAAAAUGUGAAUGAUUCAGUAAAAAGAGCAAAUUGGACAAUUCGUAUGGUACCUAUGAAGUGUGGCACCGAUCACCGAUGUGAUGAUUGUUGGCAAAGUAUGCUGUAUAGCUGUAUUGUAUACCUGUUCGAAGCACCUCGAAGCACGAUUCGCAUGAAAUCGGAAGUUCAGUUUUGUACUAAAAACACUUUCUUCGGUCGGAAAUCUUAAAUAGCUCCUUAAGCUAAAAGCUUUUUCUUAGUUUGGAAUUUGCAAUUGAGAAGAGUGUUGUAUGUGAUGCAAAUCAGCGCGUUACUGAUGUUGUUGCUCGUUGGAGAGGUUCAUCACACGAUUCCAGAAUAUGGCGAGAAUCGUCCAUAUAUCGUCGUUUGCAAAGUAUGGAUUUGCAAGGAGGUGUUAUUCUUGGUGAUGGUGGUUACCCGGGAUCUAAAAUAUUAUUGACACCAUUUAGAAUUUCUGCCACCCUCUCGGAGCCAGAACGGCGUUAUAAUAGAAGCCAUAUACGUACUAGGAAUCACAUAGAACGUUUGUUUGGACAGAUAAAAAAUAAAUUUCGAUGUUAUUUUAACGGGAUACAACUGAACUAUGGAACUGCAAAGGCUUCGAUAGUUGCUAUCUGCAUUCUUCAUAACAUUUCAAAGGAUUCUUUGAAUGUGGGCUUCUUAGAUGAUUCUGAUAUAAAUAUGCCUGAUGAUGAUGAUCAGAAUGACGAUGAUCAGAAUGAUGAUGACGGUGACGAUGACCCCUUGGUUGUAUUACCAGGGCGAAGACUAACUGGGGUUAUUACAGAAACCAGUUUAUCCAAAAAUAUUUUGCUUGAUAAUAAAACGAAACACCAUAUUUUAUACGAAUUUCAUCAUUUUUUUUUUUAUUUUUUUCAAUAGCUAAUAUUAGGAACAACAAUUAACAUAUAAAGGAUAAAUAAGAAAAAGAAAUAAAAAAGAACUUAACUCUUAUCCUAAUAAAAAUGCUAAAGUAACAAAAAAGUAUA
Episyrphus balteatus (marmalade hoverfly) is the source of this 2833-nucleotide RNA transcript. It is a transcript of the gene named putative nuclease HARBI1, with no coding region annotated. The record is from RefSeq and is a predicted model, not a curated record. Lineage: Eukaryota; Metazoa; Arthropoda; Insecta; Diptera; Syrphidae. The transcript has 5 exons.